RNAcentral lists this ribosomal RNA (481 nucleotides) under uncultured bacterium. RNAcentral's name for it is "partial 16S ribosomal RNA". It matches the Rfam family "Bacterial small subunit ribosomal RNA", at positions 38 to 507 of the family's 1533-position model. The record is from RNAcentral.
GGGGGGGGGGGGGGGGGGGCGGGGGGGGGGCGGGGCGGGCGGGAGCCGGGCGGUGGGGGGGGGGGAGGGGGGCGAACGGGUGAGUAACACGUGAGUAGCCUGCCCCCUUCUUUGGGAUAACGUCGGGAAAUCGGCGCUAGUACUGGAUAUUCUUGCUGCAUCGCAUGGUGUGGUUUGGAAAGGGGUUCUGGUGGGGGAUGGGCUCGCGGCCUAUCAGCUUGUUGGUGGGGUGCUGGCCUACCAAGGCUUUGACGGGUAGCCGGCCUGAGAGGGUGUCCGGCCACACUGGGACUGAGACACGGCCCAGACUCCUACGGGAGGCAGCAGUGGGGAAUAUUUCACAAUGGGCGCAAGCCUGAUGCAGCGACGCCGCGUGAGGGAUGACGGCCUUCGGGUUGUAAACCUCUUUCAGUAUGGAACAAGGAUCCUUCUUUUGGGGGGUUUGAGGGUACGUGCAGAAGAAGCGCCGGCUAACUACGUG